RNAcentral lists this long non-coding RNA (971 nucleotides) under Anolis carolinensis (green anole). RNAcentral describes it as "lncRNA (ENSACAG00000039390.1)". Lineage: Eukaryota; Metazoa; Chordata; Lepidosauria; Squamata; Anolidae. The record is from RNAcentral.
AUGCCACGCUGCCUAGAGUUCAUCAUAAGGCAGAGAGAAAACUUCCUUUGCUAUGAUGCUAUGCAGCGAAUAUUUCGUCGAUGCCAUGUUGGGGAGGGGAAGAAAAAGGAAAUGUCAAUAAAUUUACCAGGUUCAAGAUGCUGCUUCUCCAAUGAAGUGGACUGAAAAUAUCCUCAAGGUAAUCUUUGAAAUGCAGCAGAUUGAGAACCUGGCCCAGACACCCAAGUGCUCAGCAUCUAUAUCACAGCCUGAGAGAAAUCAGCAGCACCGUGGGCCUGUUUUAUAAUGUGUUUAUUAGAAGCCAUCAUUUCUGAAGUACUUUUUCUGUUUUAGAUUGAUUAGAAUGUUUACCUAGUUUGUCUUUCCCAGUGAAAUUACAAUCUGUGGAGUAUGAAAGAAAGUUGUUGGCACAUCAGAAUAGUUCGGAAAAUGUUUUUCAAAGAUUGGAGCUGAGAACCAUUGGCCGAGAUCCUAAAUCGUGUCUGCAACUCAUACGUAAUUACUUAGUAGUUAUGCUACACCACCCUUCCGCUCAGUGCCAACAUUGUGUGGCUGUCUCUCUGCCAGUGUGUCUGCCAAUUAUCCCAUUUUACAAUGGAGGGUGCAUAAUGGCUGUUUCCACAAUCCCAUACUGAAGGCACUGGCAAAUAGUUGUGCUCCAUCCAAGAAUUUGCAACAACAUGGCCUGAAUCCUGUUGGUUAGUCCCCAGUUGGAGUAAACCCAUUGCCUGGAUUGCUGGAUGGUGAAUCAACACAUAUUUUCAUCCAAUCAAUUCAACAGCUCUACUCCAGUAGAUAAUUAUAGGAUUUGGAUCGUUGUAGAAAUCUCAGUUAUUUGAUCAGGAAAAUGAUAUGUCCAUCGGACAAAGUGCUCUUGCAUUCACAUGUCUAAGAACACUUAUCAACCUGCAUGAAAGCCAUGAGAUUCUAAACAUUAUCAGAACCCUAUGGUUUAGAGCCAAUCAGACUAA